RNAcentral lists this ribosomal RNA (253 nucleotides) under uncultured bacterium. Its description in RNAcentral is "partial 16S ribosomal RNA". It matches the Rfam family "Bacterial small subunit ribosomal RNA", at positions 524 to 776 of the family's 1533-position model. The record is from RNAcentral.
UACGUAGGGGGCUAGCGUUGUCCGGAAUCAUUGGGCGUAAAGAGCGCGUAGGCGGCCAGAUAAGUCCGGUGUGAAAGUCACAGGCUCAACCUGUGAAUGCCGCUUGAAACUGUCUGGCUAGAGUCCGGAAGGGGCGAGUGUAAUUCCUGGUGUAGCGGUGAAAUGCGCAGAUAUCAGGAGGAACACCAAUGGCGAAGGCAGCUCGCUGGAACGGUACUGACGCUGUGGCGCGAAAGCGUGGGGAGCAAACAGG